This 75-nucleotide transfer RNA is filed under the name Streptomyces phage Faust. Its description in RNAcentral is "tRNA-Asn". It matches the Rfam family "tRNA". From Rfam's summary of the family: Transfer RNA (tRNA) molecules are approximately 80 nucleotides in length. Lineage: Duplodnaviria; Heunggongvirae; Uroviricota; Caudoviricetes; Stanwilliamsviridae. The record is from RNAcentral.
UCCUCCGUAGCAUAACGGCAGUGCAAUGGACUGUUAAUCCAUCAAGUCCUGGUUCGAAUCCAGGCGGGGGAGCCA